GUUCUUAAUUCCUGAACAAUUUUUUAAGUCUCAUCCAUGGUAGUGCUUAGUUUAAUGUUCUCAGCUUUCCCAACUGACAUCAUGCACAUGAUUCUCAUUCCAAAGUCCACAACCAAACAAAUAGCUAUCUUUAGAAGAACAGAAUCCACACUUGGCAGGCGCAUUCUAAGCUGUCCUCCUCUUCUUCAAGCAAACACCAAAUCGCCUUGCAGUCUUCUCGGAACCACUAGAGCUUUAUCAGCAUUGUCAUUUUCUGCAUCAAAUAUCAAUCGGCGGCCAGUGAUCGCCGACUUCUUCGUCAAAAUCCUAGUUUCUUGCCAAGAGAGUGAAGGGAAGAGCUGCGGCUGCUAAACUUGGUUUAAUUUUACCCUUCUCACUCGCAUGGUUCCCUUCCCGCUUGUUUCCAUGUUUUAAUUAAUUUUUCUAAUAGAAAAAUACUCUCACACACGAUACCAUGCAUCUCUAUUCAACUUAUCUUCCUUCUUCUUCGAUUCUAGGACCCCCCAUCCUCUGUUAUGAAAUAAUUCAUCAAGGCAAAGCAAUCAAUCUCAGACUCAGCCAUUCAAGAUCGAGAGGUGUAGUUGAUCUCA
Molecule: unclassified non-coding RNA, 590 nt
Filed under: Hevea brasiliensis (rubber tree)
Lineage: Eukaryota; Viridiplantae; Streptophyta; Magnoliopsida; Malpighiales; Euphorbiaceae
Source: RNAcentral